GAGGAGCACAGGAAGAUGCCUUUAUCUCAAGAGCUAGGAAAUAAGGCAACUGUAUUAAAUUGUCAAGGGAGGACAGCAGACCAACAAGGAUGAAGAAGCUUGAAAAAUUCUUCAUUGCAGGGUCCACUCAUUGUCUCUAAUGAUUUGCUGCUCCUCAAAAGAAUGUCUACACUCCCGAUCGCCCCUUUUGCCAUGAGAAAAGUUGAUUUUCACUGAACCUUCAGAGGGUGAAGAGGAAGCUUUUCCUUGACUUCUACACAGGCUGGAAAUAAAUAACCUCCGCUUAGGACACCCCUGGCAGGGGCUUUCCAAACCACUUCCAACCCUGGAGAGAAAGAUAAUGAUGUGCCCAAACAACACAUCUGCAGAUGUUCCGUGGAGCAUCAUCACCAAAAAUGCACACGAAACUGCCACUAGAAGCAAAUGGAGGAAGCACACAGCAGGACUGGGUGUCUUUAAUUGCCAUUGCGAACGUGUGUCCAUCUGCACCACGUGAAUGAUUUGCGGCACAGCCGGGACCUGGCUCAGUUCUCUUGACACAUACAUCAACUCACAAGCACUGAAGUGGCAAGGCUGUUUGCAGAAGACAUUUAAGGCAAAAAUAGAUUGCAUCUUAAAAUCUCCUUACAGGACAUAGGUGGCACAUUGAAGAAAGCUUCAAUGCAACAAUAAUUUACAAUAACAUGGGCACAGUAAUGGAAAACAGCAAAGAACUGUGAGGAACUUUGCUGGCACUUUUUCCAGGGCCAGCAGCUGGAAAGAGGGGCCACAAAACAUCAGCAAGGAAACUGCUGUUCUAAAAGAAAGACACAAGAAGCUGUGCUUCCAGAAGAGAAAAGUAGUCACUGCCACCCCAGGAACCUGGCAUGGAGGGAUGCAGUGGUGUAAUACCACUCUCUCCUUGCACCACCCACAAGCCCAGCCCAUCCUGGGGACAGACGCAUGCUGAAAGUGGAGGUCGGGUCUGGAAGGGCAAAAGCAGAUGGCCCAGCAUAGCCCACCACUUUUCUUUGUCAACAUCAAGUAUUUCUGUGUCUGUACGAAAAACCAAGGUUCUGUCCCAGGGAAAUGACGGAGUCCCAUCAGCUACAGGAUCAUAACAAGGAGAUGUCAAUUCAGUCAUACUCGCCUGAAAGCUACAGCACCUUGAACGGUUCACCCAACCACCUCAUCUGCAUGUGGUUCUCGUGGCACGUAAAGCCCUAACUGGGUGGUCUCAGUUUCACACCGCUAUGACUUUGUUUUCUGCUGGAAGCAGUUCCCCUUAUCACCAGAGCCUCCAAACCUAGAAAAGCCAAGAAAGCAGAGAUGGAAGCAAUUCCUGAUGUGGGCUAUUUGGGGCAAAACUGGUAUCUCCCCUUAUGUCCCCCGUGAGUAAGCAUUCCACAGACAGUUUCAAAACAUUA
Homo sapiens (human) is the source of this 1406-nucleotide long non-coding RNA. NCBI's taxonomy places the organism in Eukaryota, Metazoa, Chordata, Mammalia, Primates, Hominidae. The record is from Ensembl.